UGCUACUGAUCUUAGCGGCGGACGGGUGAGUAAUGCUUAGGAAUCUGCCUAUUAGUGGGGGACAACAUUUCGAAAGGAAUGCUAAUACCGCAUACGUCCUACGGGAGAAAGCAGGGGAUCUUCGGACCUUGCGCUAAUAGAUGAGCCUAAGUCGGAUUAGCUAGUUGGUGGGGUAAAGGCCUACCAAGGCGACGAUCUGUAGCGGGUCUGAGAGGAUGAUCCGCCACACUGGGACUGAGACACGGCCCAGACUCCUACGGGAGGCAGCAGUGGGGAAUAUUGGACAAUGGGCGCAAGCCUGAUCCAGCCAUGCCGCGUGUGUGAAGAAGGCCUUAUGGUUGUAAAGCACUUUAAGCGAGGAGGAGGCUACUUUAGUUAAUACCUAGAGAUAGUGGACGUUACUCGCAGAAUAAGCACCGGCUAACUCUGUGCCAGCAGCCGCGGUAAUACAGAGGGUGCAAGCGUUAAUCGGAUUUACUGGGCGUAAAGCGCGCGUAGGCGGCUAAUUAAGUCAAAUGUGAAAUCCCCGAGCUUAACUUGGGAAUUGCAUUCGAUACUGGUUAGCUAGAGUGUGGGAGAGGAUGGUAGAAUUCCAGGUGUAGCGGUGAAAUGCGUAGAGAUCUGGAGGAAUACCGAUGGCGAAGGCAGCCAUCUGGCCUAACACUGACGCUGAGGUGCGAAAGCAUGGGGAGCAAACAGGAUUAGA
This 706-nucleotide ribosomal RNA is filed under the name Acinetobacter sp. DH12-2. RNAcentral describes it as "bacterial SSU rRNA". It matches the Rfam family "Bacterial small subunit ribosomal RNA", at positions 81 to 782 of the family's 1533-position model. Lineage: Bacteria; Pseudomonadati; Pseudomonadota; Gammaproteobacteria; Moraxellales; Moraxellaceae. The record is from RNAcentral.